Bombus pascuorum is the source of this 2491-nucleotide RNA transcript. It is a transcript of the gene named serine/threonine-protein kinase greatwall, with no coding region annotated. NCBI's taxonomy places the organism in Eukaryota, Metazoa, Arthropoda, Insecta, Hymenoptera, Apidae. The record is from RefSeq and is a predicted model, not a curated record. The transcript has 4 exons.
ACAGAUGUUGAUUUUCAAAUAUGUCAGAUAACCGUUAAAGUUAAUUUACGUACAUAAGUGGAAGACAUAAAAUGUAAAGGAACGAUGAAUAAAACUUCAGUCUUUUCGUAUUGUCGAAUUAUUUUAUGAAUCGAAGUUUCGAUAUUUUAAAUUUCGUUACGUAAGUUUGUAAUUCGUUGGAAUUAAGUUAGGUUAUUUUUUUAAAUGGAAGAAGCGGCGAUUGAUUCGCCAAAUUUACGUCUAAAUGGUAAUGAACAAAUUAAUGAAACAGACGACGAAAAUUCUUGUGCAAAUUACAAUGACUCAGAAAGUGAACGUGAAAUACUAUCUGGGGAGUGUACGCCGCAACAGGGAUCGGCGAGCAGACAAAUCAACAAUUCUAUCUUUAACACCAUAUCUAAAAUUGUUAAUCCCACAGCAAAGGUACCAGAAAUACAGGAUUUUAAGAUCGUGAAACCAAUUAGCCGUGGUGCAUUUGGCAAAGUUUUCCUUGGAUAUAAAAAGUCAAACUCUGAAAAAGUAUAUGCUAUUAAAGUAAUGAAGAAAAAUGAAAUGAUAAAUAAGAAUAUGGCUUCGCAAGUGAUCAUUGAAAGGAAUGCAUUAGCUUUAACACAUAGCCCAUAUUGUGUACAAUUAUUUUAUUCAUUGCAAUCCGUUAGUAGCAUUUAUUUAGUAAUGGAAUACAUGGUGGGUGGGGAUCUUAAAAGCUUGCUUGGUGUAUAUGGUUACAUGGAAGAGUCCAUGGCAGCUUUCUAUACUGCAGAAGUAUGUCUUGCUUUGGAAUAUCUUCAUUCCCAUGGAAUUGUACAUAGGGAUUUAAAACCAGAUAAUAUGCUCUUGUCGAAAGAAGGACAUGUCAAGCUGACAGAUUUUGGGCUUAGUAAAAUAUCUUUACAUAGAGAUCUGGAAAUAUCGGAUUUAGUUAAUUGCACACCUAGUCUUUGCGCUAGGACUCCUGGACAGCUUCUUUCAUUGACGUCGCAUUUAUCUUUCGGUUCUGGACAAAGAUCUACGAGUGAAUCUAAUCUUAGCGAUAGAAGUACACCUGGUGUUAAUUUACUUUCUGCUCUGCAACAAAAUUGUACCAAAACCCAAGUAUCACCGAUUUCAGUCGCUUCUUCCGUUGUCGCGUCAGGAGAUUAUUCCCUAGUGUCUGGUAUUACUCCUUUUCAAUCAGCAGAAGAUCUUCAGUUAAUGAAACAUCAGGAAAAUGUUAUCGUUGAGAAUAUCGACUAUGAUCAAGAAAGUAGCUCCGGGAGUUAUCAUACAUGCGAAGCGACUUCGGUUCGAGUGAAUAGUCAAGUGAAUCAAAAUUUAGAAGAUGAGGACGAAUCCACGCUAGAAGCUGAACAAUCUCAGCAACCUCUUUCUCAUAUUAGUCCAUUAAGUACAUGUACGUUUACUAGAGGCGCGAAACGAAAAAGAGCUGCAAGUGUAACAACAGGCCUAACAUGUGAAUUAAAUGCAAUAGAUCUAGAUCUCGACAAAACACCAAAACGAAAGAAUCGUGGUUGCAUAUUUUCUAGGAGUCCGAUCAAUUCUACUAUCUCCGAAUCGAUAAAACAAACUAACAAUAGUACUGAUAUUGCUAAAGUACAAGAAAGCGGAAGAGUUGCAUUCAGUACACCAGUGUCAUUUGUGAAACAGAGAUGUUACAGCGAAGAAAAUGAGGACAAAUGUGAGGAAAGAACAGCACGUUUAAUUAAGACAACACGAUUUCAACUUCCAAUGGCUCAUACGUCGCAGUCGGCUCCUGAGAUACCUGUAGGCGAUAACUUGGACAAACAUCGGUCGCCUCAAGGCAUAUCUCCCAUAAAGACACCGGCAUCUUCUGGUAAUAGUUACACACCUUACAGAACUCCCAAAUCGGUAAGAAGAGCCGGUGUUAAUCGGUCAGAUGAUCGCAUACUUGGAACUCCUGAUUAUCUCGCUCCAGAAUUACUUUUAAAACAAGGUCAUGGAUAUGCGGUGGACUGGUGGGCUUUAGGUGUAUGCCUGUUUGAGUUUUGCACCGGUGUUCCGCCGUUUAACGACGAAACACCGCAAGCUGUGUUUUCCAAUAUUCUCGCCAGAGACAUUCCUUGGCCAGAGGAAGAGGAAGCUUUGUCGACGGCUGCUGUAGAAGCCAUAGAUGCCCUUCUCACUUUGGAUCAAUAUGAACGUCCUUCUGCGCAAGAAGUGCGAGUUAUGAAACUUUUCCAGAAUUUUGCCUGGGACGAGCCGCUGAAAGCGACGCCCCCCUUUAUACCGCAACCCGAUGAUAAUUACGAUACAUGCUAUUUUCAAGCACGGAACAUCAUGCAACAUUUAAACGUGAGCAAUUGCGACACAUAAUACUUAAAGUAUAGCAUUGAUGGGGAAAUAAAUAUCUACGGCCUACUUUGUGACAGGAAUAAUAUAACGAGAAGAUUAUCGAAGCACAAAUACGAAGUACGGAAGAAGAUUAUCGAAGCACAAAUAUCAUACACAAAUACGAAGACCAGAUGAUUUU